This 229-nucleotide ribosomal RNA is filed under the name uncultured bacterium. RNAcentral's name for it is "partial 16S ribosomal RNA". It matches the Rfam family "Bacterial small subunit ribosomal RNA", at positions 15 to 235 of the family's 1533-position model. The record is from RNAcentral.
GAUCCUGGCUCAGGAUGAACGCUAGCUACAGGCUUAACACAUGCAAGUCGAGGGGCGGCAUGGUCUUAGCUUGCUAAGGCCGAUUGCGACCGGCGCACGGGUUAGUAACACGUAUCCAACCUGCCGUCUACUCUUGGACAGCCUUCUGAAAGGAAGAUUAAUACAAGAUGGCAUCAUGAGUCCACAUGUUCACAUGAUUAAAGGUAUUCCGGUAGACGAUGGGGAUGCG